GAUGAACGCUGGCGGCGUGCUUAACACAUGCAAGUCGAACGAGAAGUGAAGACGGAAACCUUCGGGCGGAAGGCUUUAUUUCGAGUGGCGGACGGGUGAGUAACGCGUGGGUAACCUGCCUCAUACAGGGGGAUAACAGUUGGAAACGACUGUUAAUACCGCAUAAGACCACAGCACCGCAUGGUGCGGGGGUAAAAACUCCGGUGGUAUGAGAUGGACCCGCGUUCGAUUAGCCAGUUGGCGGGGUAACGGCCCACCAAAGCGACGAUCGAUAGCCGAUCUGAGAGGAAGACCGGCCACAUUGGGACUGAGACACGGCCCAAACUCCUACGGGAGGCAGCAGUGGGGAAUAUUGCACAAUGGGGGGAACCCUGAUGCAGCGACGCCGCGUGAGUGAAGAAGUAUUUCGGUAUGUAAAGCUCUAUCAGCAGGGAAGAAAAUGACGGUACCUGAGUAAGAAGCCCCGGCUAACUACGUG
Molecule: ribosomal RNA, 478 nt
Filed under: uncultured bacterium
Lineage: Bacteria
Description: partial 16S ribosomal RNA
Rfam family: Bacterial small subunit ribosomal RNA
Source: RNAcentral